This 730-nucleotide ribosomal RNA is filed under the name Cupriavidus sp. SMCC B0680. RNAcentral's name for it is "bacterial SSU rRNA". It matches the Rfam family "Bacterial small subunit ribosomal RNA", at positions 23 to 748 of the family's 1533-position model. Lineage: Bacteria; Pseudomonadati; Pseudomonadota; Betaproteobacteria; Burkholderiales; Burkholderiaceae. RNAcentral also lists the same sequence under 1 other name. The record is from RNAcentral.
CUCAGAUUGAACGCUGGCGGCAUGCCUUACACAUGCAAGUCGAACGGCAGCACGGGAGCAAUCCUGGUGGCGAGUGGCGAACGGGUGAGUAAUACAUCGGAACGUGCCCUGUCGUGGGGGAUAACUAGUCGAAAGAUUAGCUAAUACCGCAUACGACCUGAGGGUGAAAGCGGGGGACCGCAAGGCCUCGCGCGAUAGGAGCGGCCGAUGUCUGAUUAGCUAGUUGGUGGGGUAAAGGCCCACCAAGGCGACGAUCAGUAGCUGGUCUGAGAGGACGAUCAGCCACACUGGGACUGAGACACGGCCCAGACUCCUACGGGAGGCAGCAGUGGGGAAUUUUGGACAAUGGGGGCAACCCUGAUCCAGCAAUGCCGCGUGUGUGAAGAAGGCCUUCGGGUUGUAAAGCACUUUUGUCCGGAAAGAAAUCCCUUGCUCUAAUAAAGCGGGGGGAUGACGGUACCGGAAGAAUAAGCACCGGCUAACUACGUGCCAGCAGCCGCGGUAAUACGUAGGGUGCGAGCGUUAAUCGGAAUUACUGGGCGUAAAGCGUGCGCAGGCGGUUUUGUAAGACAGGCGUGAAAUCCCCGAGCUCAACUUGGGAAUGGCGCUUGUGACUGCAAGGCUAGAGUAUGUCAGAGGGGGGUAGAAUUCCACGUGUAGCAGUGAAAUGCGUAGAGAUGUGGAGGAAUACCGAUGGCGAAGGCAGCCCCCUGGGACGUCACUGACGCUC